RNAcentral lists this transfer RNA (73 nucleotides) under Camelus ferus (Wild Bactrian camel). It matches the Rfam family "tRNA". From Rfam's summary of the family: Transfer RNA (tRNA) molecules are approximately 80 nucleotides in length. Their secondary structure includes four short double-helical elements and three loops (D, anti-codon, and T loops). The record is from Rfam by way of RNAcentral. Lineage: Eukaryota; Metazoa; Chordata; Mammalia; Artiodactyla; Camelidae.
GAAGGUACAGCUCAAGUGGUAGAGUGCAUGCUCAGCAUGCAUGAGGUCCUGGGUUCAAUCCCCAGUCCCUCCA